Long non-coding RNA from Gallus gallus (chicken), 22164 nucleotides. The record is from Ensembl. Lineage: Eukaryota; Metazoa; Chordata; Aves; Galliformes; Phasianidae.
GUCCGGGCCGCUCCGCGCGGGGCGGGAGUCCGCCGCCUUCCACUGGCUGCGCGCGGCUGCUGCUAGCCCGUCAGGCGCGGUGGCCAAGUGGUAAGGCGUCGGUCUCGUAAACCGAAGAUCGCGGGUUCGAACCCCGUCCGUGCCUGCCGAGGGAGCGCGGCUCGCGCGCUGCAGCCACGUUCCCAGCACACGGGUUCUGCACGCCAUGGGGAGCAGCCAGCAGGUGUUUGUGGGAGGAGCUGCAGUCCAGAGACCUGACCUCAGGUGUGGAUGUGUCCCCUGCUGAUGGGGGACCUGUCUGCCCUGUGCCUGAUCCAGUUACCUCCAAAGCACCGCACGCUCACACUCAAUCCUUCCAUGCAUGGAGCUGUGCUGCUCAACUCGGUGUAGCUGUUCCUGCUGUGAUCUUCAGUGAGCAUCACUGUGAUUGCUGACAGCUCGUACAAAUACGUUAGAAGAAAUUCUAAAUGAAAAUUAGGUGUGGCUUCGUACAGCAAUGAGAGGGGCUGAGGCAUUUGCUGUGUGCCAGGCUGGCUGCUGCCAUGGAGCAUCAUUCGCUGGUGAGACAGGUGAGGACAUUCAUCUUGUGCUGCACGUGGCCGGGACCUUGGGCUGCCCGAACCUCAGCAUUCCCAUUGCAUGCAGAACAGCUGCGCCGGCCCCGUCCGUGUCCCUGGAGAUGGCAUGUUUGAACGGCAGCAACUCCAAACACGGCGCAGCUCUGCAGCUCAGCCCCAUUGUUCUGAGGCUGGAUGUAACACAGCGCAAGUGAGCCCUGCAGAGCGCCUGGGCCUGCCCCGGACAGGGGCACCCGAGCCGUGUGAGAUGGCUGCUCGUAGCACACUUUGUGGGUUAUGGAGACAGUGUCGUGUUUGUCCUAACCUGUAACUGCUGGGAAUGGGUUCUUCGUUGAGGGGCAGGGCAUUUUUAAUGCAAGAGGGGGAGAAAAAAAAUAGUGCUGCGAGUCCUCAGUGGUUCCCUGCUCUGCUCCAAAGGCCCCGGGAGCCCCAGAGCAGCUCCCAGAGCUCUGUCCUCAAGGGCAGAGUGCUUGCCCAGCCCACGGGGCUUCCCACAGCAUGCAUGGGGCUGGUGUGCCCAUCCAGCACCCCACAGCGAGCUCAGGGAAACAGCAGGGCAGGAGCACCCAUGGGAAUCUGCCUAUGGAUUUUGUUGAGUCCACUGCCAUCAACAUUCAAAUUACCAAGGAGUUAAAAGAAAAGUGCUGCUCCUUGCCCUAUGAACAUGCUGGGUUGGGCUGGGAAUUCCAAGAGGAUUUGUAAAUGAGGUUGAAAAUUCCCAGCCAACCACUUGGCACCUUUUUAGUAGGAAAAAUAUAGCUCUUAAAAAUCUCAUAAACUGAAAGCGGUUGAGAAAUCAGUGGCAAUUACCUAAUUGAACCCCCAGCUUUAUUAAUAAAUCAAGAACAACUGCUCGUGCAGCUGGGCGGGCGCUGUGACCCCCUCCCACCGCCGCGGGGCUGCGUCACAGUGCACACACAGCAGGUGCUCACCGGCGCUGGGAUCCCUGUGUUUAAUGGGCAAAGUGCGGUGCACUGAGUGCUGGCAGGACAGGCCAUUGCUUCAUUUUGCCCUGGUGAUUUGGGGGGCGUUUGAGGGUUGCUUACGGUGAGGUGCGCUCUGUCUGAUGGCAUUUCUGCCGAGUGACAGACGAGCCAUCUGGCGUUAUGCUGAAGUGCAGCGCAGCGUUUGCUUAGGAGGGAGCCUGCAGUGAUGACAAAGCAGUUCUGGACCUCCACUGCCUGUGUCACGGCCGGUCAGCACGGCUGGGCUGCUGCUGGCAGAUCAGCAAAGCCAGCAUGAGGUGGCAGAGCCAUGCUGGAGCGAAAGGAGCCCAUCAGACCUCUGCCCUCCUAGGGACGUGGAGGGGACUGAGCGGCAGCAAGAAAAAUGAGGGACUUUCAGGGGCAGCUGUGUUUUACUAACCCAGUCAUAAUGCCCCUAAAAAUCCUUAUUGUUCUUGCAAUGGUCAACUGUGACCUCCGGCACAGGGAGGCCUGGAAGGUAAGCACGAGUGCUGGGCGCAGGGCGAGCACGGUAGGGCAGGUCUGCCUUUGGGAAGGCUUGCUUGCAAGCUGGAGUGGUGUUACAGGCUGGGGGAGGAGUUUCUGUCAGAGUGGAUUGGAAAAGAUUCACUGUUAAUUGUGGUAUGGAGAGUGCACUGUUGCAUGAAUCUCAGGGCAUGAGAACUGGAAGGCAAAGUGAGAGAAAUGAAAGAAACCAAGCACUUUCCCUCCCUCUUGUAUCUGUCUCUCAUUUCUGGCUAUCACAUCAAAAUGCAGCCAGAGACGUUCUCAAACCAACCCUGGAGACACGACCCCUGACCGCAGCACUCCAGCAGGAGCGUGGCUGGUUAAGAGCAAGGUGUUGGGGAGCAGGGGGGGGUGCACCCCGAGCCACCGGUCCUUUACUUAGCAUUAGAAAUUACUCCACUGGUUGCAGGACAGUCACGGGAUGUGGGAAGGUGGCCGUGCAGCAUCACCAGCGUGCUGGGCAGCAGGGAGCACCGACUGCCCCACCAGGCAGCGCCUGCCUGUCACUGCGCCCCUGUCCUGCACAGCUGUGUGCCUGCCGACAGAAGGGCUCCAUCCUGCAAUGCUCCUGCUCAUGUCCUUUCCUCUAACAUCCCAGGGCUGCGCUGCCAUAAAUGCUUUCAGUCAGAAGUAUUUAAAAAGCUUGUUUUCUCAGAUUCCAGGACAGUGAUGUGUGCUAGCUUCUUACAUUAUUGCAUCUGCAUUUCUUUCUUUUUUUUUUUUUUUUUUUUCUUUUCUCUCUCAGUAUUCAAUUUUCAUGUUUGGGAAAGCGUUGGUGGUUUUAGACUUAAUGCCUUUCAUUACGCUGGGAACUGCCCUCUCCUUGCUAACUCCCUGCUUUCCUCCUCUUCCUGCUGAACUGCUCUCAGUCAUCGCAGCUCUCUGCUCAUCCCCAUCGCCUCAUUCUGAGCUUCUUUCCUGCUUAGGGCAGACGGAGAUGCAGUAAUUGCACAAAGAGAAGCAAUUUGUUAAACAGAACUGUAAUAUUCAAUUAUCCUCCAUCAUGCAUUCUAACACCUUGUUUGCAUUUCUGAGAGCUUGUAUGUGUUGCGUUUUUAUUUUCACUGAACCCUACAACAGUGUUCAAAGCUUUUCCCCCUUUAAUAACUCUACCAAGGGAGAUGGAUAACCAAAUUAAGCUGGCUCCACAACAGUAACUGUCCUUUUCCCAGCGUCUGGUUGCUUUAGUCAUUACCUUUUUGAAAGGGCUUUGUGUACCAAUUAAUUGGUAUGUUUAUCAAUGAAUUCUGCUUCACGUGGCUGUGCCAAUAGAUUAGAAAUGCAUGCCUAUUUUUCUUUUUUUCCCUUCUCUCUCCCCGGACUGCACAGACUUGCCUUUGCACAUCACUUACCUAUUUUUAAUUGGGCUACGUGGCUCUGGAGCAAGAAUUACUCAUUUGUUAUUUGUCAUUCUCAGGAACAUUUCAACUGCUUCUGUUAGAGCUGAAUUCUAUGUAAAGGAGAAGUGACUAGAAACCCCAGACUGGGUCCCAGGUCUUGCUUAACUUUGUAAUGCACGCUGACUUGCUGACGCGACUCCAGUUAAGGUAUGGUAUGAAUCAGGAGCUCCAACAGCCGCUGCGGAAUGAGCGCGUUCACAUGAAGUCAUCCUGCAGCAGCUAUUGCAGAAUAGUCAACUGCUCUGUGUAAGCAAGCCCUAAAAGCCAAUCCUGGUCCCAGCGGCUGUGUGACUAGGUAAGGGAGGUAAAGGGCACAAGAAAGGCACCCUUCUGUCAGCUAUGGAUGGGCUGGGAGCAAAGAAACCCGUGCUGCUCAGGGCUGCCUUGCAGGCCGCUGCUUUUGGAGUGGUUUGGUUCAGGACUUUCUGCUUUGAUGCCUUUGAUUUCUGAGACUGGCCCUGCGUACGAAGCCGCAGACUGUUUCCUCAUUUAGCCAGUGCAGUGUCUUCACCUGAUACCGAAACAAGAUGGAAGGAAUUGAAUGUUUCCCCCGGUGUGGCUGGAAUUGAUCUGCUUUUAACCCAUUAUCUACCGAUGGAAUAAACAGAAGCAGCUCCACUACUACCAGGAUGGAGAACAACCACCGACUCUUAGUACCGGAAACAGGAAGAUCCAGAAGGGGUUUUUGUUCCUACGUUACAAUUUUUAUCUUUAGUAUUCACAUCAUACUCAAAGUAAGAAUAUUUAUAUGCUAAAAUAAACCCCUUUUUGCUUUGUGAUACUGGAUUGAGCCUGCCCACCUUCUUCCUAUCACAGCUCUGACCCAUGGAGAGAGCCAAGUGGUGGAUGUGGAGGUCAGAAGGGGCCCUCCGAAUGCAGGGGAUGCACACAGAGCAAUCCUGCAGCCCGUCCUGAAGCCGGUGCAUGGAUGAGUGGAUCUUUCUCUCAUGUGCUAUGGGAACUCUGCCUAUAUAAAUGUCUGACAAACUCUACCAGUGCUUUAUAACCUUGUGUCUUCUACCUUCUGGUAAGCCACAAUUUCCUGCUUAUGCAUCUCUGUGGAAGAAGCCCUUCAUAUAUGUGACUGCAUGUGGUGAAUAGGAGAGCAAGAAGAGUUGGUGUUAUUUUUAUCCUAUCUGUUCUCAAAACAGCUCUCCCAGUCACACACCCCUCCAAUAGCCUUGGAGUGGAGGGCAGGUGCAGAGCCCUGUGGGGACACUUGGUACUUGGCCAGGGGCUGGCAGGCAGGAGGGCUCCUGCAUGCCCUGCAGGUGGGAUUCCUGCUCCAUUUCACUGCAGGGCAUUCUGGGCAGACCUGUGAGUCCAAUUCUGUGUGCCCAGGCCAAAGCAUUACGAUUUCAAGGACAAAUUUGGCUGUUCCUUUUGAAACUUCACUGUCAUUUAGCACCUCCAGUCUGGCUUGGAAAAAUGCAGAAAUUCCUAUAAUAAAUGUGUUUUGAAAAGUAUACACAGGCAAUCAUGAUUUUUUCAGUCAGUCUCAAGUGAUGCCAUCCACUUCUACUCUGCUUAAGUGCUGCCCUGGACUUCUUGAAGUUGCCAUCCCUGGCAUAUGCUAAGUAAGUAGUAUGAACAUUUCAAUAGACCUUGCCAAAACAAAGCAUCCCCUUCUGGCAUGCAGAUAAUUCUGCAUGGAUAGCAGAAGAUGUACUAAGCUUGAGCCACUGUUCAUAUUUCUUUGCACAUCAAAGCAAUUGCACCAGCAUCUUUCAAGCACCCAUGUUCCAGGCUGCAAGGAGUCUCUGGCUGCACAGGGCCUUUCUGAAUUGCCCUGUGAUGUUAUCGACUGCUUUCAGUGCACAACAUCUGCCUGGAAUAAUUUAAUGUGGUGCUUUCAGUCAAAUAGAAAUUGCAUGUCAGCCACAUGAUCUGAAUUAGACCAGUGCAGGAAAUAACAUUUUGCAGGCAAAUUUGGUGCCUUCUUUCACUGGAGCCCUUUGGUACUUGGCUGUAGUUUUCGAUGAAUAGCUGUUUCAUGGAGGAAAUAUGGUAAUUAAGGCAAACUUUCUUCAUGUUUUAAACUACUUUCAGCAAAACUAGAAAUCCAAGCUGCCAAGCAACCUUUAGUUUUAGCAGAUUACUGCUGGUCUGUGUCUUUUUAAUUAGGCCAGAGUCAAUCAAGUUUAAUUAAGAGAAUUGGUGGGACAACCAGGACAGCCUUCCCAAGAGCAGGACUCUGUUCUGGGGCCCAGUUGGUACUGGUUGAGAUUUGGUUCUCUAUAAAGACAAAGAAAACAAAAUAAAACCUCAGCAAAAUGAAUAGAUGUCACGAGUCUCAAGCACACAGACAAAGGACAGGGUUUGACCAUCAGUCUGUAGGCAGAAGGGCUGUCACAGACAGCCAGUCACAAUAUAUUCUGAUCUUUUGGUCAGCACAGAUGCUACCUGCAGUACCAAGCUUUGGCUCUGUGGCGAAUGAGAAGCAAAUCUACGGAUUCCAGUGCUUGUACUUCCAGGCUGUUAUGGCUUGCUCUUAAAUGGGGAAAGGAAGCCAAAGGAAAUCAUGUGCAUUGGAGUCAAAUACCAUUUUUAGGAGUGGGAACUGCAUGAGUAUUUCACCAGUGAUUAAAAUAGCCAGGGACCAGGGCACACUAAUGAUUAAUGAUCUCUUUCUGCAAGCUGAGGACAUGUCCUACAGAAUCUGGCCCUCCUGAGAGAUAGUCAUGAAGUACAGUUUGGCGGAGCGUAUUUUAAAGGCAUGAGCAAAAAUUGGUAGGUUAAUUGUUGUUUUUUAUGUUGUGGAUCUGCUGUGUCAUUUGGCUUGAAUUACUGGCCCCUAUUUCGGAAGCAUGCAGUACAUGGAAGUAGCCCUUACCAACCUGGUGCAGCCACACCACUGUCCCACUCCCAGCACAGGCAGGAGUGCGGGCUGAGAAGUUACACUAAGCUCACUGCUGCAGGUGGAACAAGGCCAUCUACACAAUUAUUCUAAAGCCCCUUUUUUUUUGACUUACCUCGUUUGCCUUCUGUGAAGGCGGCUCUCCUUAGCAGGACCCCCAGCACUCCUGAGGUCACAUCCUGCAUGCUGCAUUACGGGGAACUUGGAGGCCUGGACUGCACCUUGUCCCCAUGGCAGCUCAGAGCACAGCCCCACUCGGGAGGCCCCACCAGCCAUCCUCCAUCCCUUCACUACAUGGCAAAGAUUACUGCUGCAGGAAGGAGGCCAAGCAAGAAGCUGUGUGAUCCCUAUCAACGCACCUGCCCUCUUCCAGCAUCACACAGACACCACUGAUUUGUCCAUUAGAGAUGUCAUUUUUCCUGCACAGAAACAGCAGUACAAGGCGUUACUACAAUCAAACUUCAGUUUCAAGUGAGGAACUUCUGGGAGUUCCUCUUCUUUUUUUUUUUUUUUUUUUUUCCAGCUGCAGGGAAGGGUGAAAACUAUCAGCUAUACAAAUAUUACAGUUUAUGCUGUUAAAUAAAUCAUAAUUUGUCAACAGGUAGCUGAAUUAUGGCCAAUUCCACUGAGAGCCAAAACUGAUCUUCUUUCCCAGUGCUAUUGUAUAGUAACAGCUGGCAGAACACUGUCAAGCAAAGCUGUGCUGUGCUAAGCUGAUAAAUAAACCAGUGAGCCUCAGUGUAGGAGCCACAUCAUCUCAUGGAGAGACUGCAGCUCAUGCUGGAAUGUGUUGCACAAAUGCUUGUUAACAGUCUACACACAGGCAGAGAGUUGCUUUAUGAAAAGGUGUUAGAAAGAUGUGAUUUGAAUAAGACACAGCAUUCCUAGGGUUAUCAAAAGAACCAGCCAGGUUUCAGGUCUCAGAGUACUAAAGCACAGCAGCAAGCCAGCCAAUGUUAGCAUUUCUUGUUCAUUCAAAUGGAGAGUCUGGUAACCGGAUUCUGGAUGAGUGGAAAGUCCCAACAAGUUCUAAGAUACAGCAAGGCAAGCCAGAAAACCAACAGAGAGAAAUGUGUUUCUAUUUGUUUCACAGCUCCCAAAUUCUGCUGGAGAGUUUUGCACUCUUCAGUUGUUUCUGAGGCAGAAGGAGACCUCCUCUGAUUGCAGAUGCUGUGUUGCUUUAAGCCAAUCAGACUACACUGUCCCGGGUGGGAGAAGGAAGGGUAACAAGUGCCAGUGCCCCAUCAGGAGAUACAGCUUCAUGCUGGAGCUCAGAGCCUCGUGCAGCCGGCAGAUAACUCUGUGUGUUUUAUACUUAACACCACUCUGGUUUUGUCCUUGCUUUGCAGGCAUUUUAUUUUUAUCGUGGGUAAGAACAGGAACAUGUGCAUUUCUGUGAAAGGCCGAGCACAGGGCUGCAAGCUCCAUCUCAGUGCAAAUAAUACUUUGGCAGGAAACCUGCAGGAGAUUAAAUUAGGGACCUAAAGACUGAAUAUUAAAACAUUUCCAACUUUUGAGUUCUUUUAAAUAAGCAGCUACAAAACAAAGCAGUCUGACAAAAUUAGCAGGACCGAAGUGCUAAAGGAACCCACUAAGGGUCAUUUAUUUGUUGAUGCAGAUUUAAGAGAACUUUUUAAGUUAUUUGUAUUAGUAGCUGUGUAUGUCAACAUGCUAUUUCCUCAAUGCAUUUUGAGUCCAGAUUAGCUAAAGUUUUAGGUGUUGGCAGACUUGCUACAAUAGAAGGGAAAUGCCACUGGAAUAACUUUAAACAUGAUCCAAUCCCUGAUGAUUCAUUGGAUGUGUUAAAAUUUCCUUUGAGACCAUGUAAGUAAUGCAGGGACUGGAGUGCAGAGUGCCUGUGACUCAGCUCUCUGCGAGGCAAAGGGAGGAUGUCAGAAUUGCUCACUGGGACUGGAGGAAUCUCAUUUAUCUAUUUAUAGGCAAGGCUGAGAUGAGCUCGUGCCAUUGAAGAGCUGAAUUUGCCAGUUCUCUUGGGGGGAGGAAAAGGGAAGGCCCUCCUGUUAGCUGGUGGGGCUGCUUCCAAACCCAAGGACUCUGGCCAGCUGCAUUUUCUUGCCCUCGGAUGAGCAGCGUGGGGCACCUGGUGCAGACCUGUGGGAGAGCAGAGCAGCCCCAGCCCCCGGCACCAGCUGCUGCUCAGCCCCUGCUCCAGAGGGGCUGCAGGACCAGCAGGUCCCGUGCCCUGAGGUCAGGGGGCUCUUCCCACUGCAGGGGCAUCACUGCAGCACGCGUGUAUGUCAGCCAGCUUCAUUUAAGAGGUGCUGGUUAGAGGCCGCUUUGCCAAAAGCCUUUUUACUGCUUCUCUUCAAAGAGGUACAGCAGUAUUCCCCGUGAGUGGGCAUUCUGCCUAACAGGGCAUCAGAAAAGGAAAGCUCCAGGGGACAGAGCGGGGAGCCGAGCACACUGCCUGCUUCCAGCCUCUGCACAGCCUGCGAGCCACUGGCAGUGCUGGGACAGCCAUUCCUGAAGGUGUGCUUUCAGCCAUGUAUAUUUAGGUUUGGGAGGUGAAAGACGGUCACACUGUGGGUAAAAAGCAAGAGCUCAAACCCACAGCGAAAUGUUUUAGUGACACUGCUUUUCUGGUACAGCUGGCACUUAGCUGUACAGCAGCACACACUGCGGCCUGGUCUUCUUACUAAGAAAGAAACCACUCCAUAUAGGCACCACACACCGCACUGCUCCAUCACUGGGAACACCUUUGUGGUGUUGGUCCGGGCUGUUCUUUCCAUUCCCUGCAUUUAGCUGCUGUGGCUAAUUCCCUUCCCAAAAAAGAAGUUAUCUAGGAACACAGGGCUCUGGAUUACUGAUCCAGCCUCCUACUGUUACAUUCAAUUACAUCAUAUCGUGCUUUUUGGCAGGUUGUCCCAGCACUUCAUUUAAAAUUUUCAGCCUUAAUAUCAUUUGUUCUUGUGCCAGCAUCAUAAUGUAGUUUAAACAAUUCUCUUUUUUCUCUGAUCUUUACCUAUCAGAUAUAUUUACUGAAAACAAUCCUAUCUCCUCUAGCCUUUGUUUUGAAAAACUAAACAAAUGAAACUCUUCUAGUCUCCUCUUGUUCCAAACCCUCUGAUCAUCCUCAAUGCCCUUCUCUGUACCUGCUAAUCUUCCUCGAACAUGAGUGAACCUGUACCUUCUAGGAUUGUGUUUGCUUCUCCAUAUCAGAUUGGUGGCUCACAGUCAUCCCUGGGAGCGAAUUAUUCUCUGUGGUUUUUUUUCCACCCCCCUGCCUUUGUCAUCUUCAAGUAAGUAAUAUGAUAUUCUAGUUAUUAAUUUCUAAAUGCAUGUCUUAAUACUUUCUCUAUUCUAUUUCAGAUGAAUUCUGUCAUUCACUCAUUGCUGAUUGAUGUUCCGAUCAUCCUCUGUAUUAACAAAGCCCGUGUCCUCAGCAGAUUUCUUUACUACAUUCCUACUGCUGUGCCAGACUCGUUAAUGAAAGAAGCAAGAGUGAGCUCAACACUGACUCCUGAGGAGUUCCACUUACUGACUGCCUCUGUCUGGCAUUUCUUCUCUGCUCAGAGCUCCCCUUUCCUCUGCACUUUAACAGGUUUGCAUUCACCAUCCACACUAAUCCCCAUCAUCUCAACUUCAACGAGUAAUUUCCCCUGUGGUAUAAUAUCAGAUUCUGGAUAGAGUAAAUCACCUGUAUUUCAUUUGCCUAAAAAAAUAAUCAGUCAUCAAAGAGAAAUAUCAGGUUAAGCUGAACUCAUUUAAUGUGCCAAAUCCUGGGAUGGAAAUCUGCCAGUGCACCUUCACCUGAGCACACCGAAUUCUUCAUGCUUUUCCUUCCACCUUACAUGUGAUAAUUUUCAUUCCCUUAUGUAUAUUCCCACUAGAAAUCUUGUCUUUGUCCCACUGCUCAAUACGAUCAUCUCUACUGAAAAUGUGGACAAAGUGUUUUUAAUUCAUUUUUAGACCAUAUGUGGAUGGGUCUUAAUCUCAACCCCAUUCUCACUCCAUAAUGACCACGUUUCUCCUCUUUUUAUUUCUCUAGCUGAAACCCUCUGCCAUCUGUUCUAAUUUCCUUUUCAAGUCCAAUUCACAAGUUCACUUUUGACAUUUUUCAUCCUGUCUCUGCCUUUCCCAUCCCAGCAGCUUCAAAUUGGAUGACUGAGGCAAAUACUGCCUUCAGUCUUCUGCUCCACCACUCUUCUCCAAUGCCAUCCUUGUGGCAGUGGCAGUAACUCAUAAGGCAGGUCCAGAACUGCUGCACUGAACACGUCACUGGAGUGGUGGCUGUUCAGGACCUGCAGGGUAAGCUGCUUUGUCAGCCCUGUGAUAAGAGUGAUGGCCUCCAUCAAAGAGCAGAGCAGAGCAGAGCAUCGUAUUCUGUAGCAGUUCCUCUCCAGACAUCUGAUUUCAAUCCUUAGCUGCAUGCCAGCAGAAUACCCUCAUGCCAAUCAGAACUUCUGCAUGUCAGUUAAUGCUCUCCACGUGUUUGGGGCUGGUUAUUUAUCCCACUGGGGUUGGAGCAUUUCCUGUCAGGGUUCAUCUUCCUGCAUGUUUCAGCUGGUUUUGGAAUCCAAGUUCCAUCACAUUCAAUUCCUCAGAUCUGCAGUGCAGCUGAUUCCACUAAUUAGCUCCCUUAACUUCUCAACAUUUGCCCUCUUUGAGAUGAGUAUGUUUUGGUGUGUCACUACAGACGGUGCUGAAGAUUCAGUCCUAAUGAGGUGCCUUUAAAAGCUCAUGUUUCUUACCCAGAGUCCUCAGAUGCUUUGGAUGACUCACAACUUGGUGCUUUAGAGACAGCGAAAGAACUGCACUUCCCUUUGUGCAGGAGACAGACUCUGUAUCAUCUUAUCAUUGCUCAAUAUUACCCAGCAUUUUCAUUCUGUAGCCAACUGAGACAAUAAAGAGCCUAAAAAGUCACAUUUCAAAAGAUACUGCACUGGAUGGAGAAUGAGUUAAGUCCCUAAAGUGAAGUCCAAAGCUUCCUACCCCCACUGAGAUCACUGCAGCACUUUGCUAACCAAUUAUGCUUACCAGAAAGCAAGGUGUCUGUACCAAGCUAUUUGCUUUGAAUUCUGCCUAUUUCCUGCAGAAAGCAAAGCCCAUCCAGACUGCAGCUGACCGGUCCGAGACACGCCGACAGGUAGCAGAGGCCUAGCUUAGAGUGCUCGUACAGCACCAGCACAAGAAGAGAGCCACGUCCACAAGGGACUUCUGAAAAAUGCAAAGCACCUUGAGAAAUCCAGGCCUUACUGCCGGGACUCUGCAUGUGAUGCAUGUCCUCUCUUUACCUGCCUCCUCAGCUGCAGAACUGCAGCAGCACUGCCCUCUUCCCAAGCCAGCAUGCGAGUGAUACAGCCACAGUGCUGGGGCUACGUUGCCAUCUGAGAUAGGUGGAAGCUGCCUUCUGCUGCCAAACUGGUGCGUGUUCAAACCCUGUAGAAAGAGCUGAAAUGGCAGAGCAAUGUAAAUUUCUCUCCUCUCUCCUCUUUCAAUGGGAGCAAAUAUGCCCCUUUCCCAAACCACGUCUGCCUUGAAUGCUCCCUGCUCUGCUGGGCACCUACUGACCUUGGCAGUGUCACAGGACCCGUGUUUUUCUGAAAGAGUAACCUCCUUGUGAAGAGGCUUAUUGCUUUGGGAAACACAAAGCAGUCUUGUCCUCCAAGUGUCCAAGCCUUCUUUUCACGUCUGUUUAUUCCUUCACUAGCAUUUAUUUUUGGCCCUGCAAAAAAAAAAAAAAAAAAAAAACACAACUCCACAUUAAAGGGAUGGUGUCCAGUUAAAACCCACAUGCUGCACCACCCCUUCACACCCCUUUGCAGAGGAAGGGAGCAGAGGAGACCAACAAAAAAACUCAAGAAGAACUGUCUUCUGUUGGGCACAAAACUGCCUUUGCUUUCUAGAGAAAAAGCAGCAGAGCAUCCUCAGAGCAUUGGUCAAAUAGGCCAAAUUCCGCAUGCCUGAGGCCUGUUUGUAUACAUAAUCACAAAUUCAAGGACCAAAUUUCCAUUUGUCCUGGAAAAUCUCUCUAGUUGGUAUUAUAAAAGGAGCCCAGGAGAGCAGGACACCAAUGUUCCGCAACGUCAUACCGAGUUUGUGGUGUGUGUAACUCUUGAGCAAUGCCAGCCUUUGCAACACAGCUUACCAAUGAUAUAAAAUCAGAAAGACAGUUUCAUGCUGCUUCUGUGCUGUCUCCACAGCUCUCUGGGACUACUAGAGCAAGAACAUGGCUUCUUAUGCAGUAUAGAAAAGCUUAUGAGGAGCAGCAGGUGAUUGAUGCCUCCUGAGGCCAGUGCCAGCUGCACUUAACUGCUGCUCAAGGCCAGUGUUAAGGCAAACAAAAGCACUUAGGCCACCAGCAGCGUAUGCUCACCUGUUUGACUUUGCAGAGAAGUAAUCACAGAGCCAGUGCCAGCUUUGUGCCUGUCGUCUCCCAGCUGAGAGCUGUGACUGUGUGUGGCCUGAUGCAGCUGCAGAAGGGCUGUCUGAGGGCUCACAAAGCUGAAGUCCGAGGCACAAAGUUCAAGUCCAAGGUCCUGUGUUGACAGUGUGUGUGGUCAAGACCUGCGUUCCUGUUGAAAGAAGGAGAGAAGGAAAGCUGGACUGCAUCAUGAGCUCUUUGUACUGGCUCUGCAAGAGCAAUUGUGCUCACUGGCAAUAUCUAUGUCUUGGACCACCCAGCAGCAUCCAGCAGCCCGGGUCGGGUAGGUGUGCUCCAUUUGUUUAGCACCAUGACUGAGUUGGGCACCUGAGGACAAAGUUAUUAAAGCAGUCUGCUCUCAAGACCUAUGUGACAGCAACUGCAUCACUGUCUGCUUUCACUGAAGUCAAUGGGACUCUGGCCACAGGCCUGAUUCCUCUCUCUCACACAUCAAUAGAUUAUCUUUCAAGUCCAUUGGCUUCUAUGAAAUUAGAGCUGUCAAGCCCUGGAUGUACACUAUGGCAUGGUUCAGCCAAAAGAAAUGGGGGACAUGAUGGAAAUUGAAACCUCUGGAAAGACUUGGCCUAUCUUGUAUGCUUAGCAAGUCAGUAGAAUAUUAAUGCUGCAUCCAUCACUCAGAGUACGUGCUUCUGGAUGCUUGGCUGACUUUGGUAAGGGGCACUUUGAGAAGGAUAAAACUGCAUUUUCAUUGCUGAGAAUCUUCCUACAGCACACAAUGUGGCCCAUGGGAUGCUGACAACCUACUGGAAUUGUCUUCAGAGACUACAUAGGGGCUAACACUGCUAAACUGUAUAAACAAGUGCUUACCCCUGAAUAUCACGUUAGUCCAAACAGGAUUUAUAAACACAGAGAUGGUCAGAGGUGGGCUGUCCUCCAAUCAGUCUGUGAAUCUAGAAAGAAAGAAAGAAAAAAGAUGACUUUGUAUUCUUUCAAUUACAUACGUUUCAUACAUAAUUAAAGUAAUCACAAAAACACAUGCAUUGUAUCAGUAAUUGGCAAAUUAAGAAUUCGGUCACGGUUGUUCAGGAACUUACAGACUCCAUGCAAUACCAAUAAUAAUUAUUUAUAACCUACUAUGCAAGGAAAUUAGUCCAGGAAAACUGACUGAUUAUAACGUAGCACAGUCACCCCAAGGGAGAAGUUGAGUGCAAUGUGCAAGGAGCAAGACAUCACACCAUUUUCUUGUCUUGUAUUAUAAACUUUACUGCAAGUAGCAUUCUGGUAUUUUGUAUUGAAUGUCUCGGUUCCCCUGUAACAAAUACCUAUUGUAUUCCUGCUGAAUUUCAUUGAAUUUACUCCUGAGUUAUACUUAAGGUCUGAGGCAGAUCCACAUUGCUGCUUUCUGUAUAAAUCCCUGAGCUGCUUAUUCACGAGGAUGUGCAGCUUCGCAAAAGAAUGAGUUGAGAGAAUGAGCUGGGUGGCAGACUGUUAGUUCUGAUGGUAUUACCAUAGCAUCCGGAGAAGCUAAAUGCAGUGCUAACUCAAGGUACAAGAAAGCUUCAGCCCUUGAAAAGAGCUAACAAAGACGAUGCACAGAAAGUGGGAGGAAGCAAAGAGGCACAGAGAAGAGAAGCGGCUGUGCAGUGUCACACAGCAGGCAACCUGGGGGGGCAGGAGCACGGCCCCGUCUCUUAGCACUUUCCAGCUUCACACUGCCUUUUGGUCCUUUCUGCAUGUGGACCUCAUGCAUCUUCAAUUAAAAGCACAACCCAAAAAUAGAAGAUCUUUUUUUGUCAAGAGAACUCGUGCUCUGCGAGUUGUGAAAACAGAUUAUUUCCCAUGAUUAAUACCUGCCUCCUCUCUGAAGACAUCCAUCUCUGCGUGGAUCGGAUUCUAAUAAAGCAAAGCUCACCUCUUAGGAAAGAAAGCUUUCCGUUUUCUUUCUGCUAACAUUUCUCCUCACCAUUGUCCCUGCAAUCCUUUUAUGAUGCAGGCCCAACAUAACUCACAGUACUUCCCAUUAUUGUGUGCCACGAGUGUGAGCAGAGCCCUUGUUGUGGUAGAUAGCAGCCUUCAGACACCCCAUGUUUCCUGUUCAACUGGAGCCAAUCGCACACUGCUUGGUACUGAAACUAAGUCCCUAAUUAAUUUAUACACAACGAGGCCAUUGUAACGAUAACGUAAUGGAGAUCAGUCCAUUAGCAAAAAGUGUGGAUAAAUUAUUUUCUUUUAAUGCUUCCAUCAACGUUAAGACCCAUUAAUCAUAUUUUAAGAAAACAACUUUAAACUUACACGCUAUUUGUAGGCAUUUCUGAUGGGACACCCAGCCAGCCCUGCUGUUCAGCAAGGAAAUUUCUGCCAUUCACUGAGCAGAACUGGAUCUUUACCACACAGAAGAUGGCACAACUGGUCCGACUCCACUGAUAUUCUCUUUAUAACGUGAGAAAGUAGCAGUUUUAACAAAAAGGAAAUCAAGAUUAAAUGCAACAUAUUCUGAAGGAGGAAAAAAUUCCUAGCAGCAGCUGAAAGGGAAGUGGAAUUCAUCAAUGCCUCUUUCAUCUUUAUCAAAUUACUAUUCAGUGCAGUUACAUUUAUUAAUAACAACAGCCCUUAAACCACAUUGUGAAAACCCAUUAGCAAGAAAUGCUUUAAAAUCUACAACAGGCUGAAACAGAAGGUUUAUCAAAGGCUGAAACAAUUCAACAGUAUAAGCAGAGUGGGCAUUUUUAUGGGCUGCUGAGCGUGCCAGAGCAUCACUGUGACAUAUUCACAAGUGGGCUGUUUGUGCUGUGUAACUAAAACUUGCUCUUGAAUUCAGUAACCCACAUAACCAAGAGGUAAUGCAAACUCAUGCUGUGCUUUGGAUUUUUUCCCCUCACUCCAUACAUACCUAUUGCUGCUGGCAGUUGCAGAGCUGUCAGUGCAGCACUGAGCGGGCAGUCCCACAGCUCUCACUGCUCACAGAGGGGAUGCACAGUGACUUCCCCAUAACAAAACCUGAUGAGAAGAACCUUUGGAGAGGUCAUAACUAUUCCCAUGAGAGUCAGGACCAGCCUGGAGCCGACCACCGUAUCACCCUUUAAUUUUUCAACACAGUUUACCCUGGAAGUUUACAUAUUCCCUUCUCAUUCCCUUACUUGGUUUUUUAAGAGCAGGCAGUUUGAAUGUCAAUCACUGCUGAGCAAUCUCUGAGAGGGUAUGAGAUACGGAGGUGAAAUCCAGAGGAGGGAUUCUGUCAUCAUCCUCACAGCAGAAGCUGCCAGCCAUGCCCAUUGUGCACAUCCUGCACCACUGGAGAUGUGUACACAUCCCAGGGGGGCUGUUACAGAAGGGCCGCUGCCUUGCCCUGCUCUCAGUCGCUUCCAGUUUGCAGCAGAGAACAAUAAUGGCACAGACAGCGCAGCAUUGCUGUGUGCUCAUUCCGCAGCAGUGACUGUAUCUGUCACAGCCUCCUGCUGCAUCAGGGCAACGAUGUUUCUGAAGGCAUUUUCUUUGUUGCUGAACAAGGCAAAGCCUGAGUCGGGGAAUACAGGAGAGGCGAAGGGACAGAGCGAGGGAUGCGACUGCAGCUGGGUACAAGUGGACAGCAGUGCUUGCAGAUCAGCCCAUGCACAUUCUCCUUCCAGAUCUGAUAAUUCCCCAAUUCUGUAAAAACACACCCAAGGCAGGGCUCACGAGGUGCCUGAGGCAGAUAUGCAGACUGCAACUAAAUGCAUCCCACUUCUCUGGAGGGAAAAGUCCCUUCACACCCAUAAGCUGUACAGGUAUCUCACCCCAGCAGGAUGGGCAGACUGUGCCACCUCCAACCACUCUCCGGCUCCAUCCGUCCCCACAGUGUGUUCUACUUAGGAGAGCAAAAGGGUGGCAGAACAAAUCCGUGGCAGGAUGUAUCUUCUGUAAUCGCACACAACUCAGCUUGUUAAAUUGACUGGUUUCUGUCCCAGCUGAGGUUGUAACUCCAUGAUUACUUUUGACCGAGCACAGCUAGAAAACACGUAAUUACAUGGGCCAAAGCACAGAGAAUGGUGCCCACUGCUUUGCUGGUCAAGUGCAGCACAUGAGGGGAAUAGAACCGCUUGGAAAUGAAGUGUACAUUCACACCUCACCACAUCCUCACUGCAGAGUUUACGGCUUUCAGGCUUGGGCAGCAUGAAAGGCAAAAAUCUCCCAGGAGCAGUGAUGGAUUGCGUGGCAUGAAAAAUCACAAAUGGUCAGUGCUGGGGAUGGGGGUUCCACCAUCCAGCCAGAUGCAAGCAGUCCAGGUGAGCACUGGUGAGACAGCACUUGGCAUCUCGCAGGAACGAUCCUUCUGGGCUGUAAUCCCCCCUCUCCUGGUGCAUUUUCUGUUUUCUCUGUUGUUGACCUGCAGUGAUGGAGGAAAGGGGUUGGACAUAGAUGGUGCUCUGAGCAGGAGUGGGGUCUGCUGGAGAGGGAACAGCUGUGGGGCUGGGAGGGAAACAGAGACGGGAAUGAGACAGAUACAUUUCCCCUCUGGGAGGAUGGGCUCAGGCAGCCUGAGGAAAAUAAGGCUAAAAUGAAAGGGAGGAAACCAGAGAAGAGAAGAUGGAACAAGGGAGAUCACAGAGAACAACAGGAAGCAGUGCUGAGACGACAGACAUGAAGGCUGGGCUUGUGGGAGAAAAACAAACAGAGUAAAAAAAAAAAUCAGGAAUAUUGUGCAAAAGACAGAAAGAAUUUUUUAAAAAGUCCUAUAAAAGUGCCAACUACCCAGCUGCUGUAAGUAAAACUCCAGUACACUUACGUCAACACCACACCACAGAUCAGCACCAGGGGAGGAGGUCUGGGGUUGUUUUUUAAUUGCUUGGAAAGGCUUCCAGUGAUGCAGAACGUGAAGUCCGGCUUCCACUGAUGUCAAAGGGAUUUAGAGGUGCUCACGGUCUCACAAAACCAAGACCCAGCUUGUCAAAGUGCAUGAGACAAGAUGCCGCAUUCAUCCCUCGAGAAGAGCCAGCUUUGCACAUUGCCUGACCUGCACCUCGAUGGCACACGCGUGGCAGGGACACAAGGACACAGGGACACAGCCCAGCUCUGCCCACAACACACCAGGCUUUUGCUUUGCUCUCCCUGAUGAGCAGCGAGGUCCUUGGUUUGCACAGCCAGGCGUGAGUAGGGGUAAGAGGCAUCCGCUUUGCUGGUUGAAGUGAAAUGUUUGGCUUAUUGGCACAGCUUGUUUAGAUUGGCUCCUAGCACUCAGUCGAUGUUAUUAGAGAAAGCAAUCAAAAUGCAUUAAAUACUAGGAACUACAUUAAAACAACAUGGAGCAUGCAACACAAACCAAGAAAAGCAAGGGGCUGAGUAUGGAGUCUGCCAUCCCCUCAGUCAUGAGUAUGAAUAUGGUGGAGCCAUGUCACAGCGACGUUUGGAGAGGUAGAGCUGGUGAGUUCUUGCAUGCUGCAACACGGAAGAUUUCAUCUCCUUUUCCUCUCCAAACCACAGCUUCUAGAAAGACUUUGAAAUGCUGCAGUCAGCUCCUACGCCUCCCUGCUGAGCUCCUUCCAGACUGAGCUCUUAAAUUUGCUAUGUUUUUGCCAAGACCUAAUUUUCUUUUGACCACAUAUUAAAGGGCAGAUUCCCAUGCCACAGGGAGGGACUGAGAAGUCAUAACGGACACAUCCGUCACCUGUUUGGCCAGAGAUAACUGCUCUACCCCACUUCUGCAGCUCCAUCAGACUUCUCAGUUUCUUCUUUGGCCUUGAGAUAGGUCUCCAGGGGCUCUGGGAUCCCUAACUUAUCUGUUUUGUUAACUGAUUGCAGCCACAGCCAGAUCCUCGCUUUUCUACUAUACUAUGAAAAUCACAACUGCAUGUUACACCUGGUUGAACAGCAAGGUGAUUAUUGUAAAGCCUGGAUUUCCCAAGGGAAUAAAGCUGUACAUGGAGCACUGUGUGAGCCGAAUGCGUGCAAGUAGUUCUUGAUCGUGUCAGGCUAUUUCAAGGAGACAGAGAGGAGGAUUUCUCAGAGCCCUGAAGGUCCCAGACAGACGCUGCUGAUGACAGAUGGAGGACAUGGACACCAUUAGCAUCCCCUGAGGAAAAGACAGCAGCGGAUGCUCCCUCUACACCAGACAGCAGAGAUGCCACAGAGGUGAGCGCUGUUCAUUCAACUCGCUGAUCAUGAAAUUACUCAUUAAUAAUCUCUUUGCGUGAUCGCUUUCUAAUGCCACUCCCCUUCCCCAUCUGCUUGGGGCUGCACCCUGCACAGCUGUCCGCUAACCACCUUCCUCACCCAGCUGCCCAUCACCUCCAAGGCCUCCAGCAGUGAGCCAUCCACGUGUUGCUGCAGCAGCGUAGCAGGGAAACCGGAGAGAGGAUCAACACACGAGGCGCUGGGAGCUGCAGCGGGGCAACAGCUGUCCCUCAGCACAUCCAUUGUUCUUGUGCAGAGAAGCAGCUUUAAGAAAGUGGUGUAAAUUACAGGAACUGGAUCACUGGCUUGAACAAUGUCAGCACGUCCCUUCGAGGGCAUUCACUCCCCCCACGCCAUGAAACGACAAGUUAUUAUUUAACAGCAGACCUCACACAGAGGAAUGUUUUUCUGUAUUCAUGACCUCUAACAAGUAUAGCAAUUGUUUACUAUACUCUGAGUGAUCCAGAAGGAGCUAUAAUGUGAUAAUUAUAGAGAAACCUUCCUAAAAAUAUAUUUCUGAUGCAUCAGCAAAAACUCGGCAGGCCCCUCCAGCUGGCACUGCACAUAUGAGUUAAGCCCAAUUUGAGAAUCAGAUCAUGCACUACAUUUUGUGCAGCUGUGCAGACUCCAACGAGAAGCUCUGGAGCAGAUGUCUUGUAGCAAUCAGGCAGGGCAUGAAGAAGCAGAGAAGCAGAAGAGGCCAAAGCCACGUUUCUUGACUGAGUGGUCAGUGACAUAGGAAAGCAUCAGUUCCAUUUUCAAGUUGGAUAAACUGAGGCUCUGGAAAUCAGAACACCGGCAUUUUCUAAGCUGCUCUCUGACUGGUUGGUGUCUGAUGUUAGAGGUCCAGCUCGACUCCAGGCUGCGCCUGCUUCCCCACAACUACUGAGCCUCUGCAUUUUUCAUGAAGGGAUACAAUUCAUUACAGUGAUUUUUUGUUCCGACACGCUGCAUUUGUACACCUGCUCCAUGAUCAGCGCUUCCAAACCCCAGCAACGCUCUUUGAAGAAACACCCAGAAAGGCCUCAAGAUGUUCCUGCCUUGCAGCCAAGCCACCGAAAAGCCAACCUGCUGCUGCUGCCCAGAGCCCUGAGGCUGACCUGACCCCUCUGCUGCUGUUUCCGCUGAUCAGACUGUGAAGGGAAGCCAGCGCACAGGUGUUUGUUUUCUUUGCCCAGCACAGCACUUCCCUGAAGACAAGCUGGGACUUCACAGUCUCUGUAGCUCCUUGGCAGCAUCUGCAGUCUUCUGUGCCUCAGUUUCCUCACCUACAGAAAGGCCCACAUGACAAACCCUGAACCCAGGGCUGUGUUAAAGUUUGGAAAACACACAGCACCUUGAAAGAGGGCUUCUAUGGAAGCACAAACAGUCCUUUAUUGCUUCAAUUAAAAAGAGCGUGUUUUACAAUCCACAGUCUGUUUAUACUUGCACUUCUUAUGGAUAUCUCUGAAAAGAACCCAGCCUCAGCAGCUCAUGGAUUUGGCACAGCACGCCAAAUAAUAAGCAGGCUCACCAACCCUUCUACAACACACAGUGCUUCUGUGUAACUUUGCAGGCUGUGUUUGACUUGCCUGAACUUGAACAGUCACCACUGAUUGAUUGGCUUCUAAAAAUACACAUAUGCCAUGGUUCGGAGUCCAGAGAGCUUCUGUUGAUUUAGAUGGAGACCUUGCUGGGAAGAGGCUAAGACAGACACCUGACACCAGGGUGCUGCUGUGCCGGCCACUUGCUGCCGACUGCACAGGGUGCUCUGAAUGCAGGGCUCCACCACGCUCAGCAGCCCUCCAUACCUCAGAGUGGGGAAAAAAGCAGAAAGAAAGCAGCCGUAUGGAUCCCUUCCCUUCCUGCAACUCCAUUUCCAGGCUGCCCUGCAGCUGUUGGUGAUAAGCAGAGUGAACCUGCACAUAUCCUGCCAGAGGGCUGAGCUCAGGUGCUGAGCACCUGCGGCUCCCAGCAGUCAGGGGGGUGCUCAGUGCCCUGCUGAGCUGGGGGGGCUCCCAGCAGGGAUGUGACUCCUGCAAGGGAGAUGCAUUGCACUGUACCCUGGAGGAGGCUGCAAGCACAUGAUUAUUGCAACAGAAGCCGCUAGGAGAAAAAACAGAUUACCAUUUCCAUUGGAGGUAAUAGGUGCCAUGUUGAUUUAUAAACCUGUCACUGCUGGCCAUUAAGCAAACGCUGUUGCAGCUCCUAGAUCCCAUUCCGGAGCACACUGAGUAAGCUGCAGUCUCUGGCACAAUGUCUUGGAGAGCUCCACUGUAGGGCAUAGGGCCACAGCUUCUCCCUGUAGUGACCAUGAUGUUAGCACUCCCAGUUACAUGCACCCACAUCGCUACAGCUGAAGCUUCAAAAUACAUUUUGGAAAGGGAAGGAGGUGUGGGGCUGCAGGGAGCCAUGGCACAGAGCAGAGGAGCUCAAGCAGCUGAAGCUUGCCACAGGGAAACUGCAGAAAGUCAGGAGCAAAGCAAAGCAGUGUCUGUGCAUUCUGGGUGUGAUGCACUGACAGCAGCAUGCUGGGCACUGGUGAGGAACGCAGCAACACCAGGUUUGCUAAAGAAGUGAAACUGAGACAGUUUCCAGCACUGUGCCCAUGCUGGCAGGUCUCAGGGCCACUCUGCUCACUUACCUGCUGACAUCGGAGCUAACAAAAGACAAAGCAGAGUGCAGUCAAAUAUAUACACUGGAUGUUGCCAUGCUACUGAAUGCAGCUUAGCACAGCAGGACUUUUUCUAAAUGAUGUAUUGUAGCUGAGCUAAAACCUAAAUAAUAAUGCUUACUUUGGCUCUCUGGAAGAUCACAGCUAGACAGCAGCCUGUGGAAUACCACGGCUAGUGGAAGAAAUCAUCGGUAUUCUAGGAGCACAUGGGACUGGAGAUGAUCACUGCAGCCAGACUCCUCUUUCACAGCAUCACAUGCCAGCUCAUUUGUGUGUGGGUUAUGCAAUGGAACCCGGCCCUGCUCUCCUGAUGCAACGUCUUGCAGAAGCUGGUUGCUCCAAGACUCAGAACCCUCAUUUCCAGCGUGAGUGGAAGUUUACAGUCACUCUGUCAUCCAAAGAUUUAUUGUCAUUUAUGUAAUGUUCUUCCUUCUGCUGUAUCUACAGAAACCAGUGCCCUCUCUUCAGCUCUGCCACACCGAACAUCCCACAUGGUCACUUCUGUGUCACUCACUGUCCCAGUCAUCUUCUGAGUUCUGCUUUGGAUUCCUCCUUCCCAAAGACAGCUGAUGGGAAUUGGCUGUGACUUUCCAGAUGGAGGCUGAGCAGUUCCUUGUAUGGUGGCAGAAGUGCUUCCCCAUCUUUACUGGAAAUAUCCUGCCUAAUAAACCCGAUGAUCUCACUUGGCUUUUGUGUUCAGUUUUAAAAGAG